CCUACGGGAGGCAGCAGUGGGGGAUAUUGCACAAUGGGGAAACCCUGAUGCAACGGCGCCGCGUGUGGGAAGACGGUCCUCUGGAUUGUAAACCACUAUCCCCAGGGACGAAGAUUACGGUACCUGGGCAGGACGCUCCGGCUAACUACGUACCAGCCGCCGCGGUAAUACGUAGGGAGCGAGCGUUGUCCGGAAUUACGGGGUGUAACGGGUGCGUAGGCGGGGAUGCAAGUUGGGUGUAAAACCUACCGGCUCAACUGGUAGUCGCACUCAAAACUGCAGCGCUUGAGUGAAGUAGAGGCAGGCGGAAUUCCUAGUGUAGCGGUGAAAUGCGUAGAUAUUAGGAGGAACACCAGUGGCGAAGGCGGCCUGCUGGGCUGUGACUGACGUUGAGGCUCGAAAGUGUGGGGAGCAAACAGGAUUAGAUACCCGAGUAGUC
RNAcentral lists this ribosomal RNA (439 nucleotides) under uncultured bacterium. RNAcentral describes it as "partial 16S ribosomal RNA". It matches the Rfam family "Bacterial small subunit ribosomal RNA", at positions 338 to 795 of the family's 1533-position model. The record is from RNAcentral.